GCUCACCAAGGCAUCGACGGGUAGCUGGUCUGAGAGGACGAUCAGCCACACUGGGACUGAGACACGGCCCAGACUCCUACGGGAGGCAGCAGCAGGGAAUUUUGCACAAUGGGCGCAAGCCUGAUGCAGCGACGCCGCGUGGGGGAUGAAUGCCUUCGGGUUGUAAACCCCUUUUAUCAGGGACGAAUAAUGACGGUACCUGAGGAAUAAGCCUCGGCUAACUACGUGCCAGCAGCCGCGGUAAUACGUAGGAGGCGAGCGUUAUCCGGAUUUACUGGGCGUAAAGGGUGCGUAGGCGGCUAUAAAAGUUUGGUGUGAAAUCUCCGGGCUCAACCCGGAAACUGCAUUGAAAACUAGAUAGCUAGAGGAUCGGAGAGGAGAUUGGAAUUCUCAGUGUAGCAGUGAAAUGCGUAGAUAUUGAGAGGAACACCAGUUGCGAAGGCGGAUCUCUGGACGGUUCCUGACGCUGAGGCACGAAAGCUGGGGUAGCGAAGAGGAUUAGAUACCCUCGUAGUCCCAGCCGUAAACGGUGCGCACUUGCUGUGGGCGGAUUCGACCCCGUCCGUGGCGAAGCUAACGCGAUAAGUGCGCCGCCUGGGGAGUACGGUCGCAAGAUUAAAACUCAAAGAAAUUGACGGGGGCCUGCACAAGCGGUGGAGUAUGUGGCUUAAUUCGAUGCAACGCGAAGAACCUUACCUGGCCUUGACAUGUAGUGGACCGGGUGCGACAUCACCCUUUCCUUCGGGACUGCUACACAGGUGCUGCAUGGCUGUCGUCAGCUCGUGUCGUGAGAUGUUGGGUUAAGUCCCGCAACGAGCGCAACCCCCGUGUUCUGUUGCCACCCGGAUGAGAAUCCGGAGCACUCUGGACAGACUGCCUGGUUUCAACCAGGAGGAAGGUGGGGAUGACGUCAAGUCAGUAUGGCCCUUACGGCCAGGGCUGCACACGUACUACAAUGCCUGAUAUAAUGGGAAGCGAGACCGCGAGGUGGAGCAAAUCCUCAAAAUCAGGCCCAGUUCAGAUUGUAGGCUGCAACUCGCCUACAUGAAGGAGGAAUCGCUAGUAAUGCCGUAUCAGCUACGACGGCGUGAAUACGUUCCCAGGCCUUGUACACACCGCCCGUCACAUCAUGAAAGUCGAUUGUACCCGAAGUCGCCGCGUUAACCGCAAGGAGACAGGUGCCGAAGGUAUGGUUGGUAAUUGGGAUGAAGUCGUAACAAGGUAGCCGUAGGGGAACCUGUGGCUG
This 1246-nucleotide ribosomal RNA is filed under the name marine metagenome. RNAcentral's name for it is "bacterial SSU rRNA". It matches the Rfam family "Bacterial small subunit ribosomal RNA", at positions 263 to 1520 of the family's 1533-position model. The record is from RNAcentral.